UACGGAGGGUGCAAGCGUUAAUCGGAAUUACUGGGCGUAAAGCGCACGCAGGUGGCUGAGUCAGUCGAUUGUGAAAGCCCUGGGCUUAACCUGGGAAUUGCAGUCGAUACUACUCAGCUAGAGUAUGGGAGAGGGUAGUGGAAUUCCCGGUGUAGCGGUGAAAUGCGUAGAUAUCGGGAGGAAUACCGAUGGCGAAGGCAGGUCUCUGGGCUGACACUGACGCUCAUGCACGAAAGCGUGGGGAGCAAACAGG
Molecule: ribosomal RNA, 253 nt
Filed under: uncultured bacterium
Lineage: Bacteria
Description: partial 16S ribosomal RNA
Rfam family: Bacterial small subunit ribosomal RNA
Source: RNAcentral